Long non-coding RNA from Sinocyclocheilus rhinocerous, 866 nucleotides. RefSeq lists it as uncharacterized. Lineage: Eukaryota; Metazoa; Chordata; Actinopteri; Cypriniformes; Cyprinidae. The record is from RefSeq and is a predicted model, not a curated record. The transcript is spliced from 4 exons.
UACCCCAGCUUUAAUCUAUAUUAAAUGAUUAGUUUCACAAGAUGAAAGCCUGUUGUUUGUUUAACAAAACUUUCCCAGGUACAGUCACUGCCUGAAGCCUGCCAAAGGUUGAAGAUACAGAGAGAGAGAGAGUUUGCACAACCCAAACAUGUUCUUCAGGCGUUCUUGGUUCUAGAAAUUGACAUCAGCGCUGCUCGUUCUUAUAUAUUAAACAUAUGUAAGCAUACUGUAUAUAGAAGCAUUACUAUAUUCAAACCUGCCUACGAGGGGCAAAUUUAUCAGCAAGUCCUUUGCGUUGUUGACGGGUUAAAGGGACCUUUUUAUUAGCCGUAAUGCUGGGAAGAGAUCUGCCGGGAGAUGGAAUAAUUGUUUGGAAUGGGGAUUCUCAGCGGACUCUUCUGAGCUUGUCAGCUGGUGUUUGAAGUGUGCGCUGACAUUGGGAAAAACUCAAGGGCAAGUGUUGAGCAGGAAACAGGCUCUUAAAUGGAAAAGGGAGGGGAGCGAAAGAGAACAGAAGAGGAAAAACAAAGGCUUAGACCCUCGAAAGGCUUAAGAACCUCAAGGAUCUGGAAAAAAGACCUUGAGUUUUCCACUUUGAGAGUCAACCAACAUGAAACAAAGUGGAGAAGGACUCCUCACUUAGUCUACACUCAGGAGGGCUCUACCUUUACCAUGUUGGAGAGAAGCGGCAUCUCUGAAAUAAUUUAAGUAGCCCUUUUUUGAAAGCCCAGACAAGUUAAGAGAAUUCACAUCUAAGAUCAAAGCUGUACUGUUGCAGUGCCACUGGAGGUUGCAGAUGGGUUGGAGCCUAUCCCAGUGUCUUGGACCACAGGCAGGGGACACCCUCAAUGGAUGGCCAAUAUUAA